Molecule: ribosomal RNA, 423 nt
Filed under: Lachneratus phasmaticus (phantom cardinalfish)
Lineage: Eukaryota; Metazoa; Chordata; Actinopteri; Kurtiformes; Apogonidae
Description: partial 12S ribosomal RNA
Rfam family: Bacterial small subunit ribosomal RNA
Source: RNAcentral
GGCACUUCACACCCUGCUAGAGGAGCCUGUUCUGGAACCGAUGAUCCCCGUUCAACCUCACCUUCUCUUGUUCUUCCAGCCUAUAUACCGCCGUCGUCAGUCCACCCUGUGAAGGAUCACCAGUGGGCAAAGCUGGUAAAGCCCAAAACGUCAGGUCGAGGUGUAGCGUACGAGAAGGGAAGAAAUGGGCUACAAUUACUAAAACAGUUAAUACGAAUUAUACAGCUGAAACCGCGUAUAUGAAGGAGGAUUUAGAAGUAAGAGGGUAAACAGAGUGUCCCUCUGAAGUGGUAUUGAAGCGUGCACACACCGCCCGUCACUCUCCCCGAGUAGACAACAUACAGUAAAUAAACAACUACUAUUCUAUAAAGGGGAGGCAAGUCGUAACAAGGUAAGUGUACCGGAAGGUGUACUUGGAACAAU